AGAACGAACGCUGGCGGCAUGCCUAAUACAUGCAAGUCGAACGAACUCUUCGGAGUUAGUGGCGCACGGGUGCGUAACGCGUGGGAAUCUGCCCCUUGGUUCGGAAUAACAGUUGGAAACGACUGCUAAUACCGGAUGAUGACGAAAGUCCAAAGAUUUAUCGCCAAGGGAUGAGCCCGCGUAGGAUUAGCUAGUUGGUGAGGUAAAGGCUCACCAAGGCAACGAUCCUUAGCUGGUCUGAGAGGAUGAUCAGCCACACUGGGACUGAGACACGGCCCAGACUCCGUACGGGAGGCAGCAAGUAGGGAAUAUUGGACAAUGGGGACGAG
Molecule: ribosomal RNA, 329 nt
Filed under: uncultured soil bacterium
Lineage: Bacteria
Description: bacterial SSU rRNA
Rfam family: Bacterial small subunit ribosomal RNA
Source: RNAcentral